This is a long non-coding RNA of Panicum hallii, 935 nucleotides long. RefSeq lists it as uncharacterized. The record is from RefSeq and is a predicted model, not a curated record. Lineage: Eukaryota; Viridiplantae; Streptophyta; Magnoliopsida; Poales; Poaceae. The transcript has 2 exons.
GCUCCUUCAUCUUCCUUCUUAUUCAGUCUACUGUACAUUAAUUCUAUAGAUACUACUUGAGUGUUGUACGUGUGAGAAUUACUCGUGGGUUAAAGGGUUAGUACGUGUAUUUGCAACUGAUGGCCGGAUAGCAACUCAUACUCUGCGACAUUACUAGCACAACUACCUUCUUAGCAAAAUACAUUACUUAACUUAUUUUUGACAUGCUCUGCUAUUACUGAUGACCAUUAAGCAAGGAGGUAAAAUCUUAGGUAGGUAUUCUGAGAUGCUAGUAAUACUGAAACAAUGUUGCUGUGCUUGUAAAGUUCACCUUAAGCCUGCUGAUGUCUAACUGAAAUUCUUGACUAGUGUUUCUUCCACCCAGCUCACUGCUACUCCUUCUGAAAUGGCUUACACUUCACUGAACUCUUCUUCCUGACUCCUCCCACUGGUCAGCUGCCCUUUCCUUACCCCAUGUCGCCCUCCAUGAAUGAUCAGGUCACCAUAUUGCUACGAUGGGGGUGACUUAGUGGUCCUUCCCAGUAAGGAUUGGAUGAUCCUAAAAGAGUUUCUAAUGAUCCUAAAAGAGUUUCUAGUAUAUUGUGAAGUGAAGAGUGCGUUGCUUUCUCAGGCUUGGUGACUUCUGAACUCCUUUCAGCUUUCUACUGAGGACUUAUACUGCUGGAAGGAACUCUAGAAUUCUCUCAUUGGCUGCCUAAAAGGAACUGGUACUAUUGCUGUUACAUGUUGGUCGGCCAGGUGCUCUCCUCCUCCUAGAAACUCAUGGCAACUCAACGAGUACAACUACUAGUAUGGCAGGCUGGAGUGGUUGUGACUCGCUGUUAGCACUGUGAACUAGAUGUGAAAAGAAGACUGAUGUGUAACAUAUUGUAAAGCUACAUUGAUUUGAUGAUGUGGUUAUAACUUUAAGAAUUAACAUCUGUGCAUUCUCAUGA